Rosa rugosa (rugosa rose) is the source of this 563-nucleotide long non-coding RNA. RefSeq lists it as uncharacterized. NCBI's taxonomy places the organism in Eukaryota, Viridiplantae, Streptophyta, Magnoliopsida, Rosales, Rosaceae. The transcript has 3 exons. The record is from RefSeq and is a predicted model, not a curated record.
AAGAGGAAAAAGAAAGUCGACAUAGAUGAACAAGACUCAGAGGUUCAAUUUAGCUUGGCAGCAAUGGCACCUACAUUACCAGAAUCAUUGAAGAUGUAAUGUAUGUAGGGUGAGUCUGCAUUUAGAGAUGGGCAUACCAUCAACUUCAUCAUGGAACCUGAAGUAUUUGGAUAUUCUCGAAAGACUUUUAUUUUGGGAUCAGAUGUUAGGCGACUUGCAAGCAUGAGAGAAGUCUCUGGAAAUUGCAUUGCUGUGUACCAGAGGUACCUAUAUGAGCAGUUCACUGCUUAUAAAAUGGUGGACAUGGUUGCAUUUGUUGACCCUUCACGAAUUGGUGGAAAAUGAAGUGGGAAUGGAACUGUGAGGGCCCAACACAUAAGAGAUAGGCUUCUAACUGCCAAACCAGGCCAAAUGUUCAUGUUGCCAUAUAACUCGGGUGAUCAUUGGAUGUUGACAAUUGCUGAUCCUGACCGAGGUACUGCAUAUUUUAUGGAUCCUUUGAAAAAACGCUUACCCACUGAAGAUUGGAUGUCUAUUAUGGAAACGUAAGUCGCUGUUACUAA